ACAGCAGUCGCCGCGGUAAUCCGAAGGGGGCUAGCGUUGAUCGGAUUUACUGGGCGUAAAGCGCACGUAGGCGGACUUUUAAGUCAGGGGUGAAAUCCCGGGGCUCAACCCCGGAACUGCCUUUGAUACUGGGAGUCUUGAGUAUGGUAGAGGUGAGUGGAAUUCCGAGUGUAGAGGUGAAAUUCGUAGAUAUUCGGAGGAACACCAGUGGCGAAGGCGGCUCACUGGACCAUUACUGACGCUGAGGUGCGAAAGCGUGGGGAGCAAACAGGAUUAGAUACCCCCGUAGUCCCUGUCUCUUAUAC
RNAcentral lists this ribosomal RNA (305 nucleotides) under uncultured bacterium. Its description in RNAcentral is "partial 16S ribosomal RNA". It matches the Rfam family "Bacterial small subunit ribosomal RNA", at positions 508 to 807 of the family's 1533-position model. The record is from RNAcentral.